UGGGGAAUUUUGCGCAAUGGGCGAAAGCCUGACGCAGCGACGCCGCGUGAGGGAUGAAGGUCUUCGUGAUUGUAAACCUCUGUCAGGAAGGAUUAAAUGCGUGGGUGCCAACACCACCCAUGUUUGACUUAACUUCCAAAGGAAGCCCCGGCUAACUACGUGCCAGCAGCCGCGGUAAUACGUAGGGGGCAAGCGUUACUCGGAUUUACUGGGCGUAAAGCGAAUUAAGGCGGUCUUGUAAGUCAGAGGUGAAAUCCCUCAGCCUAACUGAGGAAUAGCCUUUGAUACUGCUUGACUAGAGGACAGGAGAGGAAAGUGGAAUUCCCGGUGUAGCGGUGGAAUGCGUAGAUAUCGGGAGGAACACCAGAGGCGAAGGCGGCUUUCUGGACUGGUCCUGACGCUGAUAUUCGAAAGCUAGGGGAGCAAACAGG
Molecule: ribosomal RNA, 431 nt
Filed under: uncultured bacterium
Lineage: Bacteria
Description: bacterial SSU rRNA
Rfam family: Bacterial small subunit ribosomal RNA
Source: RNAcentral